Molecule: ribosomal RNA, 122 nt
Filed under: Allofrancisella inopinata
Lineage: Bacteria; Pseudomonadati; Pseudomonadota; Gammaproteobacteria; Thiotrichales; Francisellaceae
Source: RNAcentral
UUUGGCGAUGAUAGCUUGUAGGAACCACCUGAUCCCUUUCCGAACUCAGAAGUGAAACUACAACACGCCGAUGAUAGUCUGGCUCUUGCCCAGGUGAAAGUAGGUAGUCGCCAUCUUUUUUA